GGGUUUUCGGAGUCGGACUCGUGGCCAACCUCCCACCCUUGUCUCUAUACACCUGUUGCUUUGGCGGGCCCACCGGGGCCACCUGGUCGCCGGGGGACAUCUGUCCCCGGGCCCGCGCCCGCCGAAGCGCUCUGUGAACCCUGAUGAAGAUGGGCUGUCUGAGUACUAUGAAAAUUGUCAAAACUUUCAACAAUGGAUCUCUUGGUUCCGGCAUCGAUGAAGAACGCAGCGAAAUGCGAUAAGUAAUGUGAAUUGCAGAAUUCCGUGAAUCAUCGAAUCUUUGAACGCACAUUGCGCCCCCUGGCAUUCCGGGGGGCAUGCCUGUCCGAGCGUCAUUUCUGCCCUCAAGCACGGCUUGUGUGUUGGGUGCGGUCCCCCCGGGGACCUGCCCGAAAGGCAGCGGCGACGUCCGUCUGGUCCUCGAGCGUAUGGGGCUUUGUCACUCGCUCGGGAAGGACUGGCGGGGGUUGGUCACCACCAAAAUUUUACCACGGUUGACCUCGGAUCAGGUAGGAGUUACCCGCUGAACUUAAGCAUAUCAAUAAGCGGAGAAA
Molecule: ribosomal RNA, 554 nt
Filed under: Penicillium sp. FT18
Lineage: Eukaryota; Fungi; Ascomycota; Eurotiomycetes; Eurotiales; Aspergillaceae
Description: eukaryotic LSU rRNA
Rfam family: 5.8S ribosomal RNA (bases 182-335)
Source: RNAcentral